This 484-nucleotide ribosomal RNA is filed under the name uncultured bacterium. RNAcentral's name for it is "partial 16S ribosomal RNA". It matches the Rfam family "Bacterial small subunit ribosomal RNA", at positions 30 to 507 of the family's 1533-position model. The record is from RNAcentral.
AUUGAACGCUGGCGGCAGGCCUAACACAUGCAAGUCGAGCGGAUGAAGGGUGCUUGCUCCUGGAUUCAGCGGCGGACGGGUGAGUAAUGCCUAGGAAUCUGCCUGGUAGUUGGGGAUAACGUCCGGAAACGGGCGCUAAUACCGCAUACGUCCUGAGGGAGAAAGUGGGGGAUCUUCGGACCUCACGCUAUCAGAUGAGCCUAGGUCGGAUUAGCUAGUUGGUGGGGUAAAGGCCUACCAAGGCGACGAUCCGUAACUGGUCUGAGAGGAUGAUCAGUCACACUGGAACUGAGACACGGUCCAGACUCCUACGGGAGGCAGCAGUGGGGAAUAUUGGACAAUGGGCGAAAGCCUGAUCCAGCCAUGCCGCGUGUGUGAAGAAGGUCUUCGGAUUGUAAAGCACUUUAAGUUGGGAGGAAGGGCAGUAAGUUAAUACCUUGCUGUUUUGACGUUACCAACAGAAUAAGCACCGGCUAACUUCGUG